AACGUAGGAGGCAAGCGUUAUCCGGAGUUACUGGGCGUAAAGAGUGCGUAGGCGGGUGUGUAAGUGAGUGGUGAAAGCCUCUGGCUAAACUAGGGGAGGACCAUUCAGACUGCACGUCUAGAGUCGGAUAGAGGGGUGCGGAAUUCCGGGUGUAGCGGUGAAAUGUGUAGAGAUCCGGAGGAACACCAGUGGUGCAAACGGCGCCCUGGGUCCGAACUGACGCUGAGGCACGAAAGCGUGGGGAGCGAACGGG
This 253-nucleotide ribosomal RNA is filed under the name uncultured bacterium. RNAcentral's name for it is "partial 16S ribosomal RNA". It matches the Rfam family "Bacterial small subunit ribosomal RNA", at positions 524 to 776 of the family's 1533-position model. The record is from RNAcentral.